UCUAAUGUUAUUUUAAUAGAAAAACCUCAUCUAUCAGGCAUCCAGAGUACUGUUUUUGGUUUAAAAGUUUGUUUUUUGUUUUUUUUCCUAUCUUCCAGAUGGAAAGUUCAGAUAACAAAUAAAGGAUACUACAACUUAAGGAAGCCUAAGGAAUUCACAAUGAACAACUAUUUUUCUAUUGGACCUGAUGCUCUCAUGGCUCUCAAUUUUCAUGCUCAUCGUGAGAAGGCACCAUCUCUGUUUUCUAGCAGAAUUCUUAAUAAGGCUGUUUAUUUAUUCUAUGGAA
Molecule: non-coding RNA, 286 nt
Organism: Ictidomys tridecemlineatus (thirteen-lined ground squirrel)
Lineage: Eukaryota; Metazoa; Chordata; Mammalia; Rodentia; Sciuridae
Source: RefSeq, a predicted model, not a curated record